Long non-coding RNA from Sphaeramia orbicularis (orbiculate cardinalfish), 920 nucleotides. RefSeq lists it as uncharacterized. The transcript has 3 exons. NCBI's taxonomy places the organism in Eukaryota, Metazoa, Chordata, Actinopteri, Kurtiformes, Apogonidae. The record is from RefSeq and is a predicted model, not a curated record.
GAGCUGUCUGCUCUAGUGGAGGAUUCACACUGGAGACUGGACGCUGUCAGGUUGGAUCCUGCUGGAGUCCGAUGGUUGAAACCAGGUCCAUGGAGACAUUUCUGUGAACUCACCCUGGAUCCAAACACAGCGAAUGAUUGGCUCAGACUGUCUGAGAACAACAAGAAGGUGGAACGAGUGAAGGAGCUUCAGUCAUAUCCUGAUCAUCAGGACAGAUUUGAGGUCUUUCCUCAGGUGAUGUGUUCAACUGGUCUGACUGGUCGCUGUUACUGGGAGGUCCAGUGGAGUGGAUUGGUUUAUAUAUCAGUGACUUACAGAGGAGUCAGAAGGAAAGGAGACGGUGAUGAUGGUGUGUUUGGAGGAAAUCAUCAGUCCUGGAGUCUGGUCUGUUGUGGAGAUGAAUACAGUGUCUGUCAUGAAAACAAAUGCACAGACCUCCCUCCGUCCUCCUCCUCUCUCUCCCUCCUCUUCUCCUCCUCCUCCUCCUCUGGUACAGUCUCAGUGUAUGUGGACUGUCCUGCUGGAUCUGUGUCCUUCUAUAGAGUCUUCUCUGACAAACUGAUCCACCUCCACACCUUCAAAACCACAUUCACUGAACCACUGUUUGCUGGAUUUGGACUCUAUGGUCCUGGAUCCUCAGUGUGUUUGUGUGAUGUGUAGAUCUGUUGUGUUGUUGUGUUCAUGGACAUGUGGUUGUGUAGAUGUGAACACAAACAUCUGGACUUUCUACUGCUCACAUUUCAUAAACAGCCUUUAGUUUUAAUGUGUGAGAGGUGUUGGUCCAUAAAUGUGAAUGUGAGCCUUACUGCCACCACCUGGUCUGGAGUGGGAACUACAACUGUACGUCCAAACUGACCAAACAACUCAUUUAUGUCAUUAUUCAAUGAUUUGAAUCUAAUUAAAGCCUCAACUUCACCAUU